Molecule: ribosomal RNA, 1029 nt
Filed under: uncultured euryarchaeote
Lineage: Archaea; Methanobacteriati; Methanobacteriota
Description: bacterial SSU rRNA
Rfam family: Archaeal small subunit ribosomal RNA
Source: RNAcentral
CCUAGGGGGGGCAGCAGGCGCGAAACCUCUACAAUGCACGAAAGUGUGAUAGGGGAAUCCCAAGUGCUCAAGCACUGCUUGGGCUUUUGCCAUAUGUAAAUAGUAUGGCGAAUAAGUGGUGGGCAAGACUGGUGCCAGCCGCCGCGGUAACACCAGCGCCACGAGUGGCAAUCGCGUUUAUUGGGCCUAAAGCGUCCGUAGCAGGUUUUGUAAAUUUCUUGUGAAACUGCCAAGCUUAACUUGGCAAUGUGCAGGAAACACUGCAAGACUAGAGACCGGGAAGGGUCGGAAGUAUUCCUGAGGGAGCGGUAAAAUGCUAUAAUCUCAGGAGGACUACCGGUGGCGAAGGCGUCCGACUAGAACGGAUCUGACUGUGAGGGACGAAAGCUAGGGGAGCAAACCGGAUUAGAUACCCGAGUAGUCCUAGCUGUAAACGCUGUGAGCUAGGUGUCGCGUAUUCUACGGGAAUGCGCGGUGUCGUAAGGAAGCUACUAAGCUCACCGCCUGGGAAGUACGGUCGCAAGACUGAAACUUUAAGGAAUUGGCGGGGGCGCACCACAAGGGGUGCGGCGUGCGGUUUAAUCUAACUCAACACAGAGAACCUUACUAGGGGCGACGGCAAGAUGAAGGUCAUGCUGAAGACAUUACUCGAUGAGCCGACAGGUGGUGCAUGGCCGUCGCCAGCUCGUGCUAUGAAGUGUCCAGUUAAGUCUGGCAACGAGCGAGACCUGUAUCUGCAAUUGCUAACGGCAUUACGGUGGACCGAGCACAUUGCAGGGACUGCCUUGGAAACAAGGAGGAAGGUGCAGGCUACGGUAGGUCUGUAUGCCCCGAAUCCCCUAGGCUACACGCGCGCAACAAUGGUAGAGACAAUGGGAUGCAACUCUGAAAAGAGAAGCUAAACCUCUAAACCCUAUCCAAGUUCAGAUUGAGGGUUGCAACUCACCCUCAUGACGUCGGAAUCCCUAGUAAUCAGGUUUCAUCAAAGCCUGGUGAAUAUGUCCCUGCGCCUUGCACACACCGCCCGUC